GGACAUGGACAUGGGGAAGGCCAUGGACAUGGACACGGUCAUGGGCAUGGUCAUGGUCAUGGUGGUGGUCAUGGUCAUGGUUAUGCUCAUGAUUUCUAUGGACGUUUCGGAAGUGGAAUCAUUCUCCCUCAUAACACCUUCGGAGUCACCUAUGAAAAGAAAUCCGA
Molecule: long non-coding RNA, 167 nt
Organism: Argiope bruennichi
Lineage: Eukaryota; Metazoa; Arthropoda; Arachnida; Araneae; Araneidae
Exons: 3
Source: RefSeq, a predicted model, not a curated record